GGAAAAACUAAUUAUUUGAGUGAAUUUUCUAAGUCAAAUCAUCAUAACUCUGCAGAAAAUCAUCAGAACGGAACAAAAUUCGAACUUGAUUUGUAACUUGUCAUGAUAAAACUAUAUACCAAUUAUUAAAUCAAUAUCUUCAAGCAUGACUAAAAAAAAGUGCAGAAAACUAAUUAUUUGAGUGAAUUUUCUAAGUCCAAGGACCAUAGCUCUGCACAAAAUCAUCAGAAUGGAAAUUCAAACUUGAUCUGUAACGUGUCAUGAUAUAACUAUAUACCAAUUAUCAAAUCAAUACCUUCAAGUGAGGAAAAACUGAUUAUUUGAGUGAAUUUUCUAAGUCAAAACACCAUAACUCUGCAGAAAAUCAUCAGACCGGAACAAAAUUCGAUAACUUGGUCUGUAACUUGUCAUGAUUAAGCUAUAUGCCAAUUAUUAAAUCAAUAUCUUGAAGCAUGACAAAAUAAAUUGCGGAAAACUGAUUUGCCGGACUGACAGAUGGACAGACAAAUGGACAGACA
Molecule: long non-coding RNA, 518 nt
Organism: Mytilus californianus (California mussel)
Lineage: Eukaryota; Metazoa; Mollusca; Bivalvia; Mytilida; Mytilidae
Exons: 2
Source: RefSeq, a predicted model, not a curated record